GAUGGGUAGGGGAGCGUCGUCUGCCGGGUGAAGCAGCCGCGUAAGCGAGUUGUGGACGGUUGACGAGUGAGAAUGCAGGCAUGAGUAGCGAUUCACACGUGAGAAACGUGUGCGCCGAUUGACUAAGGGUUCCUGGGUCAAGCUGAUCUGCCCAGGGUAAGUCGGGACCUAAGGCGAGGCCGACAGGCGUAGUCGAUGGAUAACCGGUUGAUAUUCCGGUACCCGCUGUGAAGCGUCAAACAUCGAAUCCAGUGAUGCUAAGCCCGUGAAGCCGCCGGCUGAGUCUUCGGACGAGGUCGGAGUGGUGGAGCCGGUGACCCGAGCUGGUAGUAGGUGAGUGAUGGGGUGACGCAGGAAGGUAGUCCAUCCCGGGCGGUGGUUGUCCCGGGGUAAGGGUGUAGGACGUCAGGUAGG
Molecule: ribosomal RNA, 414 nt
Filed under: Streptomyces vinaceus
Lineage: Bacteria; Bacillati; Actinomycetota; Actinomycetes; Kitasatosporales; Streptomycetaceae
Description: partial 23S ribosomal RNA
Rfam family: Bacterial large subunit ribosomal RNA
Source: RNAcentral